AAUGAAGUCACCCGUGAUUGAUGAAUUUUGUUAUGGUUCGUGGAACCAAUGAUUAUGAAACCGAUCAUGUAUUCAAAAUGUGUGUUUUUCUGUGGUGGUACACAUCUCUAUUGGUAUGCUUAGAUGAGUAAGCAUUGGGAUGUGGGACCAAUGAUUCGAGCCUCAAUUGGGUUUGAGCCCUAACCAUGGCGGACAUGGGAGAAAGGUGGACACCAAAGUGGGAUAAGGCCAAUACGGUGAAAGAGACUCAAAGUGGGUAAAGUCACAUACAAGUGAUGGUU
Molecule: long non-coding RNA, 281 nt
Filed under: Lathyrus oleraceus (garden pea)
Lineage: Eukaryota; Viridiplantae; Streptophyta; Magnoliopsida; Fabales; Fabaceae
Description: Pisum sativum (pea) long non-coding RNA (PSAT_LNC004331)
Source: RNAcentral